This 69-nucleotide transfer RNA is filed under the name Chiasmocleis hudsoni (Hudson's humming frog). RNAcentral's name for it is "Syncope hudsoni (Hudson's humming frog) tRNA-Trp". It matches the Rfam family "tRNA". Rfam says of the family: Transfer RNA (tRNA) molecules are approximately 80 nucleotides in length. Their secondary structure includes four short double-helical elements and three loops (D, anti-codon, and T loops). Further hydrogen bonds mediate the characteristic L-shaped molecular structure. tRNAs have two regions of fundamental functional importance: the anti-codon, which is responsible for specific mRNA codon recognition, and the 3' end, to which the tRNAs corresponding amino acid is attached (by aminoacyl-tRNA synthetases). tRNAs cope with the degeneracy of the genetic code in two manners: having more than one tRNA (with a specific anti-codon) for a particular amino acid; and 'wobble' base-pairing, i.e. permitting non-standard base-pairing at the 3rd anti-codon position. Lineage: Eukaryota; Metazoa; Chordata; Amphibia; Anura; Microhylidae. The record is from RNAcentral.
AGAAACUUAGGAUAAAUAGACCAAGGGCCUUCAAAGCCCCAAGCAGAAGUUAAAAUCUUCUAGUUUCUG